UGGGGAAUAUUGGACAAUGGGGGGAACCCUGAUCCAGCGAUGCCGCGUGUGUGAAGAAGGCCUGAGGGUUGUAAAGCACUUUCAGCGGGGAGGAGGGGUUAUUGGUUAAGAGCUGAUGACUUGGACGUUACCUGCAGAAGAAGCACCGGCUAACUCCGUGCCAGCAGCCGCGGUAAUACGGAGGGUGCAAGCGUUAAUCGGAAUUACUGGGCGUAAAGGGUGCGUAGGUGGUUUGAUAAGUCAUAUGUAGAAUCCCUGGGCUCAACCUGGGAAUGUCGUGUGAUACUGUUGGACUAGAGUAUGGGAGAGGGCAGUGGAAUUUCCGGUGUAGCGGUGAAAUGCGUAGAUAUCGGAAGGAACACCGGUGGCGAAGGCGGCUGCCUGGCCUGAUACUGACACUGAGGCACGAAAGCGUGGGGAGCAAACAG
RNAcentral lists this ribosomal RNA (428 nucleotides) under uncultured bacterium. RNAcentral's name for it is "bacterial SSU rRNA". It matches the Rfam family "Bacterial small subunit ribosomal RNA", at positions 355 to 775 of the family's 1533-position model. The record is from RNAcentral.